AGAGUUUGAUCCUGGCUCAGGAUGAACGCUAGCUACAGGCUUAACACAUGCAAGUCGAGGGGCAGCAUGGUCUUAGCUUGCUAAGGCUGAUGGCGACCGGCGCACGGGUGAGUAACACGUAUCCAACCUGCCGUCUACUCUUGGCCAGCCUUCUGAAAGGAAGAUUAAUCCAGGAUGGGAUCAUGAGUUCACAUGUCCGCAUGAUUAAAGGUAUUUUCCGGUAGACGAUGGGGAUGCGUUCCAUUAGAUAGUAGGCGGGGUAACGGCCACCUAGUCAACGAUGGAUAGGGGUUCUGGAGAGGAACGGUCCCCCAACAUUAGGAACUGAGACACGGUCCAAACUCCUACGGGAGCA
Molecule: ribosomal RNA, 355 nt
Filed under: uncultured bacterium
Lineage: Bacteria
Description: bacterial SSU rRNA
Rfam family: Bacterial small subunit ribosomal RNA
Source: RNAcentral